GUCUUCUAUUUACGCCUGGUUGCUCAACUCGAGUUGCUCGGAGCUGAUUUUCCGUGUUCUAUUUACGCCAAGCAACACGGGUUGGGGCAACUGUAGUUGCUCGGAGGGGCAACCACAGCAACCACGCUCGGGACAGUGGUUGGUCGAGGUGGUGUCUGGCAACCCCAUCGUGGUUGCAGAUCAGCUGAUACACCAAGGCGUCCCUUAAGUUGUAAUUACAUAACACUGCUUCCUUGCUAGAGAUGGCAGAGGCUCAUCGUCCAUCUUAUAAAUGUCCUUUCUGUACUUUGGUGGCACCAACUAGUACCUACAUUAUUGAUCAUCAAGUGUUUGCCCACUCACACCUUGUUCAACAGAGAGAAGAUGCACUGAUUGUAGAAGUAUCAGGCUCACAAGGUGAUGUCUCUGAGUCGCCUGAUGAACCGUUAACUCUUGAAGUGACAUGUGAAGGAACCCCUCACCCCUUUGAGGGAAGUACACAAUUUGCCUCAUGGGAACUCCACAGCAUUACAGUGCAGGCAGAAGUGGAGUAACCUGUUGAAGGCAUACAAAAAAUACAUAGACAAUGUCAAUAAAACAGGGGCACCACCAAUCCCUCAACCUUCUCACUUUGACAUUCUCCAUGGUCUCCUUCGGGUCUCCCACAGCAUUGAACCACGGAACCUCUUUGAAAGUGGUAGAACAAUGGCUUGUUCUUUGCAAAAAGAAAUGAUUGCUUUUGCACCAACUGAUGAAGAUUUGGAUGCUGACCAUGAACUACCACCACCAGCUGUUCUAAGUGCACCCACAGAAGGUGGCAAAAGAGUGGCACCUACUGGACGAAGUGGACGCACUGAGGCCAGCAUAGCACUGGCAAGUGCUGGCCCCUCUACAAGUGGUACUGGACCUACUGGACGAAGUGUACGCGCUGAAGCCGGCAUAGGAGUGGCAGGUGCAGGGCCCUCGACAGGAGUUACUGGAUCUGCUGGUUCAAGUACCCAUACUGAAGCCAGUACACCAGUGACAGGCGCUGGCCCCAGUAGGAGCCGACGGCAAAGGGUAACUCCUCCUUCACACAAUGCUGAAGUAAGACGACUGCUGCAGGAUGUUGUGGAUCAGCUGAAGACGCAUGCAGAAGUUGUGAAGAAUAGUGAAGUCGUUAGGGCACACCACAGUGAAUCUCUUAUAAAGGAAUUGCGAAGAUUCAAUGACAAUUACGAAUCCAUGCAUGGAAAAAAAUCGCGGAAAAGGCGACAUGAAUCUGACAGUGACUGAAAGUGUAAAAAUGUUUUGGAUGUUGGGCUGAAUUAGCCACCAAAUAAUUUAUUAGUAAUUAAUCAA
Molecule: long non-coding RNA, 1320 nt
Organism: Eriocheir sinensis (Chinese mitten crab)
Lineage: Eukaryota; Metazoa; Arthropoda; Malacostraca; Decapoda; Varunidae
Exons: 6
Source: RefSeq, a predicted model, not a curated record